GACGAACGCUGGCGGCGUGCUUAACACAUGCAAGUCGAACGGUGAAGCGCCUUCCUUUUUGGUGGGUGUGGAUGAGUGGCGGACGGGUGAGUAACACGUGAGUAACCUGCCCCCUUCUUCUGGAUAACCGCAUGAAAGUGUGGCUAAUACGGGAUAUUCUGGGUCUGUCGCAUGAUGGGUCUGGGAAAGAUAUUGUUUCGGUGGGGGAUGGGCUCGCGGCCUAUCAGCUUGUUGGUGGGGUGAUGGCCUACCAAGGCGGUGACGGGUAGCCGGCCUGAGAGGGUGGACGGUCACACUGGGACUGAGACACGGCCCAGACUCCUACGGGAGGCAGCAGUGGGGAAUAUUGCACAAUGGGCGCAAGCCUGAUGCAGCGACGCCGCGUGAGGGAUGGAGGCCUGCGGGUUGUGAACCUCUUUCGCCAGUGAAGCAGGCCUGCCUCGUUUGUGGGUGGGUUGACGGUAGCUGGAUAAGAAGCGCCGGCUAACUACGUG
Molecule: ribosomal RNA, 494 nt
Filed under: uncultured bacterium
Lineage: Bacteria
Description: partial 16S ribosomal RNA
Rfam family: Bacterial small subunit ribosomal RNA
Source: RNAcentral